This 465-nucleotide ribosomal RNA is filed under the name uncultured Zoogloea sp. Its description in RNAcentral is "bacterial SSU rRNA". It matches the Rfam family "Bacterial small subunit ribosomal RNA", at positions 338 to 795 of the family's 1533-position model. Lineage: Bacteria; Pseudomonadati; Pseudomonadota; Betaproteobacteria; Rhodocyclales; Zoogloeaceae. The record is from RNAcentral.
CCUACGGGAGGCAGCAGUGGGGAAUUUUGGACAAUGGGGGCAACCCUGAUCCAGCCAUGCCGCGUGAGUGAAGAAGGCCUUCGGGUUGUAAAGCUCUUUCAGACGGAAAGAAAUCGCACAGGUUAAUACCUUGUGUGGAUGACGGUACCGUAAGAAGAAGCACCGGCUAACUACGUGCCAGCAGCCGCGGUAAUACGUAGGGUGCGAGCGUUAAUCGGAAUUACUGGGCGUAAAGCGUGCGCAGGCGGUUAUGUAAGACAGAUGUGAAAUCCCCGGGCUCAACCUGGGAACUGCGUUUGUGACUGCAUAACUAGAGUACGGCAGAGGGAGGUGGAAUUCCGCGUGUAGCAGUGAAAUGCGUAGAGAUGCGGAGGAACACCGAUGGCGAAGGCAGCCUCCUGGGCCAGUACUGACGCUCAUGCACGAAAGCGUGGGGAGCAAACAGGAUUAGAUACCCCAGUAGUC